Molecule: ribosomal RNA, 253 nt
Filed under: uncultured bacterium
Lineage: Bacteria
Description: partial 16S ribosomal RNA
Rfam family: Bacterial small subunit ribosomal RNA
Source: RNAcentral
UACGGAGGGUGCAAGCGUUGUCCGGAUUCAUUGGGUUUAAAGGGUGCGUAGGCGGGCAUAUAAGUCAGUGGUGAAAGACCGGAGCUCAACUCUGGAACUGCCAUUGAUACUGUAAGUCUUGAGAGCAGACGAGGUAGCUGGAAUGUGUAGUGUAGCGGUGAAAUGCAUAGAGAUUACACAGAACACCAAUUGCGAAGGCAGGUUACUAGUCUGUGUCUGACGCUGAGGCACGAAAGUGUGGGGAGCGAACAGG